Molecule: non-coding RNA, 342 nt
Organism: Urocitellus parryii (Arctic ground squirrel)
Lineage: Eukaryota; Metazoa; Chordata; Mammalia; Rodentia; Sciuridae
Source: RefSeq, a predicted model, not a curated record
CCAGAGGGAGCCAUGGAAGCCCCCAGUCAGCUCCUCUGCCUCCUGUUACUCUGGCUCCCAGGACCACAGGAGAAAUUCUGUGCUGACACAGACUCCAGCCUCUCUGGGUUUGUCUCCAGGGGAAAGAGCCACCCUCACCUGCAAGGCCAUUCAGAGUGUUAGCAGCUACAUUGCCUGGUACCAGCAGAAGCCUGGGCAGGCUCCCAGAUGCCUCAUUUAUGGUGCAUCCAGCAGGGCUAGUAGCAUUCCAACCUGGUUCAGUGGCAGUGGAUCUGGGACAGAUUUCACUCUCACCAUCAGCAGUCUCGAGCCUGAAGAUUUUGGCACUUAUUACUGUCAGCA